Molecule: non-coding RNA, 45 nt
Filed under: Schistosoma mansoni
Lineage: Eukaryota; Metazoa; Platyhelminthes; Trematoda; Strigeidida; Schistosomatidae
Source: RNAcentral
ACCCAGCUGAUGAGUCUCAAAUAGGACGAAAUAGGCGUCCUAGAU